Molecule: transfer RNA, 74 nt
Filed under: Limosilactobacillus equigenerosi DSM 18793 = JCM 14505
Lineage: Bacteria; Bacillati; Bacillota; Bacilli; Lactobacillales; Lactobacillaceae
Description: Lactobacillus equigenerosi DSM 18793 = JCM 14505 tRNA
Rfam family: tRNA
About the family: Transfer RNA (tRNA) molecules are approximately 80 nucleotides in length. Their secondary structure includes four short double-helical elements and three loops (D, anti-codon, and T loops).
Source: Rfam by way of RNAcentral
GCCGACUUAGCUCAGUUGGUUAGAGCGCCGCUCUCGUAAAGCGGAGGUCGGAGGUUCGAAUCCUCUAGUCGGCA